CGAUGAUGCCCAGCUUGCUGGGCGGAUUAGUGGCGAACGGGUGAGUAAUACGUGAGUAACCUGCCCUUGACUCUGGGAUAAGCCUGGGAAACUGGGUCUAAUACUGGAUACUACCUCUUACCGCAUGGUGGGUGGUGGAAAGGGUUUUACUGGUUUUGGAUGGGCUCACGGCCUAUCAGCUUGUUGGUGGGGUAAUGGCUCACCAAGGCGACGACGGGUAGCCGGCCUGAGAGGGUGACCGGCCACACUGGGACUGAGACACGGCCCAGACUCCUACGGGAGGCAGCAGUGGGGAAUAUUGCACAAUGGGCGGAAGCCUGAUGCAGCGACGCCGCGUGAGGGAUGACGGCCUUCGGGUUGUAAACCUCUUUCAGUAGGGAAGAAGCGAGAGUGACGGUACCUGCAGAAGAAGCGCCGGCUAACUACGUGCCAGCAGCCGCGGUAAUACGUAGGGCGCAAGCGUUGUCCGGAAUUAUUGGGCGUAAAGAGCUCGUAGGCGGUUUGUCGCGUCUGCUGUGAAAGCCCGGGGCUCAACCCCGGGUCUGCAGUGGGUACGGGCAGACUAGAGUGCAGUAGGGGAGACUGGAAUUCCUGGUGUAGCGGUGAAAUGCGCAGAUAUCAGGAGGAACACCGAUGGCGAAGGCAGGUCUCUGGGCUGUUACUGACGCUGAGGAGCGAAAGCAUGGGGAGCGAACAGGAUUAGAUACCCUGGUAGUCCAUGCCGUAAACGUUGGGCACUAGGUGUGGGGGACAUUCCACGUUUUCCGCGCCGUAGCUAACGCAUUAAGUGCCCCGCCUGGGGAGUACGGCCGCAAGGCUAAAACUCAAAGGAAUUGACGGGGGCCCGCACAAGCGGCGGAGCAUGCGGAUUAAUUCGAUGCAACGCGAAGAACCUUACCAAGGCUUGACAUUCACCGGACCGCCCCAGAGAUGGGGUUUCCCUUCGGGGCUGGUGGACAGGUGGUGCAUGGUUGUCGUCAGCUCGUGUCGUGAGAUGUUGGGUUAAGUCCCGCAACGAGCGCAACCCUCGUUCUAUGUUGCCAGCACGUGAUGGUGGGGACUCAUAGGAGACUGCCGGGGUCAACUCGGAGGAAGGUGGGGAUGACGUCAAAUCAUCAUGCCCCUUAUGUCUUGGGCUUCACGCAUGCUACAAUGGCCGGUACAAAGGGUUGCGAUACUGUGAGGUGGAGCUAAUCCCAAAAAGCCGGUCUCAGUUCGGAUUGAGGUCUGCAACUCGACCUCAUGAAGUCGGAGUCGCUAGUAAUCGCAGAUCAGCAACGCUGCGGUGAAUACGUUCCCGGGCCUUGUACACACCGCCCGUCAAGUCACGAAAGUUGGUAACACCCGAAGCCGGUGGCCUAACCCC
Molecule: ribosomal RNA, 1366 nt
Filed under: Kocuria rosea
Lineage: Bacteria; Bacillati; Actinomycetota; Actinomycetes; Micrococcales; Micrococcaceae
Description: bacterial SSU rRNA
Rfam family: Bacterial small subunit ribosomal RNA
Source: RNAcentral